AUGAUCCGUCGGUAUUGGUGGGGAGCAGAGAAAGGAAAACGCAAGACCCACUGGGUCAGUUGGGACAGCAUGCUACGACCUAAAGGAAGAGGUGGUAUGGGCUUCAAGGAUCUUCGGUUGUUUAAUCAAUCUUUGUUAGCACGUCAAGCAUGGCGUCUCAUAGAAUUUCCGGAUAGCCUUUGUGCUCAGGUUCUCCGUGCGAAGUACUACCCGUCUGGCAAUAUUACAGAUACAGUUUUUACAGGUAAUGGGUCAAGCACUUGGCUGGCUAUUGAACAUGGCUUGGAACUGGUAAAGCAAGGGUAUAUAUGGCGCGUCGGAAAUGGAGCAAACAUCAGAAUAUGGCGCGACCCCCGGAUCCCAAAUGGUGCACCUUUCAAACCGAUCACGCCUAAGCGCCGCUGCAGACUCAAAUGGGUGGCCGAACUUCUGAACACGGAUGGCACAUGGAAUGUUCCAAUCCUCAGGCAACACUUUUUCCCAAUAGAUGUCGCAAAUAUACUGAAAAUCAAGGCAUCUAAGCGGUUAGGGGAUGAUUUAUCGCAUGGCAACCAGACAAACAUGGGUGCUUCUCAGUCCGCUCAGUGUAUAACAUGA
Molecule: ribosomal RNA, 597 nt
Filed under: Triticum aestivum (bread wheat)
Lineage: Eukaryota; Viridiplantae; Streptophyta; Magnoliopsida; Poales; Poaceae
Description: partial small subunit ribosomal RNA
Source: RNAcentral